UGCCAGCCGCCGCGGUAAUACGGAGGGCGCAAGCGUUACUCGGAAUCACUGGGCGUAAAGAGCGUGUAGGCGGAUAAAUAAGUUUGAAGUGAAAUCCUGUGGCUCAACCAUGGAACUGCUUUGAAAACUGUUUAUCUAGAAUAUGGGAGAGGUAGAUGGAAUUUCUGGUGUAGGGGUAAAAUCCGUAGAUAUUCGGAGGAACACCAGUGGCGAAGGCGGCUUUCUGGACCAAUACUGACGCUGAGAUGCGAAAGCGUGGGGAGCGAACAGGAUUAGAUA
This 279-nucleotide ribosomal RNA is filed under the name uncultured bacterium. RNAcentral's name for it is "partial 16S ribosomal RNA". It matches the Rfam family "Bacterial small subunit ribosomal RNA", at positions 506 to 784 of the family's 1533-position model. The record is from RNAcentral.